Molecule: long non-coding RNA, 1975 nt
Filed under: Triticum aestivum (bread wheat)
Lineage: Eukaryota; Viridiplantae; Streptophyta; Magnoliopsida; Poales; Poaceae
Description: long non-coding RNA (TAES_LNC014298)
Source: RNAcentral
UCAGUUUCUUAGAAAAUAAAACAUUUUACAGGAUAUAAAAUUCCAAAAUUCUAUGAACUGUCUUUGUUCUCCUCCAAGUGCCAAACAUCAACAUAAAUCAUCCAAGGAUCCAUGUAAUCAUCUAGUAUUUAACUCCUCGACCUACAAAGAAAAAACCAUAAUACUAUUUAGGCAUAAAUUGGAAAUUUGAAGUUUUAAAAUAUAGCUAUGCAUUGUACCAAAAUGGAUCCACUUAAAAAUUAUGUGUCAAGAAAAAAAGGUUGGGAGAGAAGACAUAAGCUUAUGUGUGUCUUGCAGAUAACUUAGAAGAGUACAUAUUAAAACACCAAGCAUCAUUGAUAAAUCAAAUGUGAAUGUUCACUAUGAACAACCAUCAGCAUGUAUGUACUACUAACAAUUAUGCACAUAUUAUACUAUAUUAAUAAUGAGAUGAAUUCAACUACCAACUAAAUGGUAAGUAGGUAACAAUAAUAUCGAAUAUAAAGAAUUGGAUAUUUCCAUCAUCCAAACGAUUCUGCAUUAAUUUGUUUUGCUUCCUAUGAUGUAUUAGGAGAAAAAAUAUCAAUGCCCGCAGCUCGAAAACCAUCACACGAAACUUUGUAGUUACCUGAGAACUAGAAUGUCACAUGUCUGAAUUUUUCAAUCCAUGAUUAAAAUUCUCAGAACCUGUAGAAGCAACAACAACAAAAUAAAUGCAUCAUCAUAUUUGGGACGGUUGGUGUUGCCAACUCAUGCAAAAAAAAGACUAAGACAUGCAUAACGAACUAUGAAAUGGAAAAGGGGAGUUGUGGGUCAUCUUUUUAAUCCUUUCCGCUUGCCAUCAUGCUUGGCCUGAGGCCCUGACCCGGCCUUGCAGGAAAGCAUGAUCUAAUUAUUAAAGAAAAGAUCAUGCCCUAAUUAGUAUAGAAGAGAGGAUAUGAGUGAAUAAUCAAUUAAAAGUUGGGACAGAUAAAUCGGAGGUACCAUACCAGACUGAGCCGCUAUAAGACGCCUGGUUUCCCUCUAUCCACAGCACCACCCAUGAGGAAAUGAGCCACAAACGGAGAUUUAGAAGAGAUGGAGCAUGACCCUGAUCUCGGCCGCCGUAGAUGGGGACGUGAAUUGGUUUGGGCUUCUCUAGGAAAAAGUAGGGGAGUUUUGUUUAUUGAGAAGGUGGUAUCAAAUAUAUUUACAGAACAAAAUAAAUUGAUGUGCCACUAUUUAAUUCUUCAAGACCAACCUAGUACAAAAGUUGAAUACAAAUUUAUGAAAAAGCAUCAGUGGUGACCUAUGUAAUGGCUGAAUAGUCCGAAUAAAAGCAGACCAGGAUUGAAUAGUUUUUUGUCAGUAUUUUCCCAGUUUUAAGAAACACUACCCAUAAGCGAUCAAUGCCAAUGUGGCAUUAUCAUAUAUCAAGAGAAUUUUAUCUUUGUGACCUUUUAGCUUCCUAAUCAUGUAUCAUUUGUCAUGUCAUUGAAUAGCUGACCAUCAGUACCUAUAGGAAUGUACAAAAUGUGGGACUGGGGAAAAUAUGGGAACGUACAAAAUACCUAAUCAAGGAAGCAAAUUGGUUGCCUCACUUUCUGUGGUAAGCUGUACAUAUCCAUCUGACCUGAAGCUGCACCCAUUAAAGCAAGUUAAUCCCCUACAAAUUAGCCAAGGCAAGCUUAGAUCUUAACAGGAUCUUAUUUAUUUGUGCGCCUAUUGUCAAACUUUUGAAAUAAGACCCGCAGGACAAUUUCAUACCAAACAAAUCAGGGUACUGCAAGUGUUUAGAGACUGACAAACUGUUAGCUGACAUCUAGUAGGCAUAAAAAUGCAUGACAAAACACACAUAAUGAUAUAUAGGUGGAAAAUAUAAUUAGAUAUAGGGACAGAAGCUUCUUAUUGGUGGUCCAGAAAGUUGUGCUACUCACCUCUGCCAUGGAAUAAUACAACUCCAGCACGUGAGUGAUUUGCAGGGCUUGGUGAUUUCAUGGUAAGACAACCAGAAGCC